This 440-nucleotide ribosomal RNA is filed under the name Alcanivorax sp. ADRIF11. Its description in RNAcentral is "bacterial SSU rRNA". It matches the Rfam family "Bacterial small subunit ribosomal RNA", at positions 42 to 472 of the family's 1533-position model. The record is from RNAcentral. Lineage: Bacteria; Pseudomonadati; Pseudomonadota; Gammaproteobacteria; Oceanospirillales; Alcanivoracaceae.
GCAGGCCUAACACAUGCAAGUUCGAGCGGAAACGAUGGGAGCUUGCUCCCAGGCGUCGAGCGGCGGACGGGUGAGUAACACGUGGGAAUCUGCCCAUUAGUGGGGGAUAACUCGGGGAAACUCGAGCUAAUACCGCAUAAUCCCUACGGGGGAAAGCAGGGGAUCUUCGGACCUUGCGCUGAUGGAUGAGCCCGCGUCGGAUUAGCUUGUUGGUGGGGUAAUGGCCCACCAAGGCGACGAUCCGUAACUGGUCUGAGAGGAUGGCCAGUCACACCGGGACUGAGACACGGCCCGGACUCCUACGGGAGGCAGCAGUGGGGAAUCUUGGACAAUGGGCGCAAGCCUGAUCCAGCCAUGCCGCGUGUGUGAAGAAGGCCUUCGGGUUGUAAAGCACUUUCAGUAGGGAGGAAGGCUUUGGGCUAAUACCCUGGAGUACUUGA